Molecule: ribosomal RNA, 697 nt
Filed under: uncultured bacterium
Lineage: Bacteria
Description: bacterial SSU rRNA
Rfam family: Bacterial small subunit ribosomal RNA
Source: RNAcentral
AGAGUUUGAUCCUGGCUCAGGACGAACGCUGGCGGCGUGCUUAACACAUGCAAGUCGAGCGAUGAAGUUUCUUCGGAAAUGGAUUAGCGGCGAACGGGUGAGGAACACGUGAAGAAUCUGCCCUCCACUUUGGGAUAACACCGGGAAACCGGUGCUAAUACCGAAUAUUGAAACAUAAGUGGCAUCACUGAGUUUUGAAAGAAUUUCGGUGGAGGAUGACUUCGCGGCCUAUCAGCUAGUUGGUGAGGUAAUGGCUCACCAAGGCAACGACGGGUAGCCGGCCUGAGAGGGCGACCGGCCACACUGGGACUGAGACACGGCCCAGACUCCUACGGGAGGCAGCAGUGGGGAAUAUUGGGCAAUGGAGGAAACUCUGACCCAGCGACGCCGCGUGCGGGAUGAAGGCCUUCGGGUUGUAAACCGCUUUCAGUAGGGAAGAAGCGAAAGUGACGGUACCUACAAAAGAAGCACCGGCUAACUAUGUGCCAGCAGCCGCGGUAAUACAUAGGGUGCAAGCGUUGUCCGGAAUUAUUGGGCGUAAAGAGCCCGUAGGUCGUUUGUUACGUCGGAUGUGAAAACCUGAGGCUCAACCUCAGGCCUGCAUUCGAUACGGGCAAACUAGAGUUUGGUAGGGGAGACUGGAAUUCCUGGUGUAGCGGUGGAAUGCGCAGAUAUCAGGAGGAACACCAAUGGCGAA